CAGAGUUCAUGCCCUUCGGGGUAGAUCUCCCACCCUGUGUAUUUAUACCUUUGUUGCUUUGGCGGGCCGUUAGGCUUCGGCUUAGCUACCGGCCCCGGCUGGUAAGCGCCCGCCAGAGAACCUCAAACUCUGAAUGUUAGUGUCGUCUGAGUACUAUAUAAUAGUUA
RNAcentral lists this unclassified non-coding RNA (167 nucleotides) under uncultured Helotiales. Its description in RNAcentral is "sequence contains ITS1". Lineage: Eukaryota; Fungi; Ascomycota; Leotiomycetes; Helotiales. The record is from RNAcentral.